GUGUAUCGCCCUUAGAUUGAGGGAGAAGACUGGGGUGCUGUCCGUGACCUGCGGCACUGAGGGGGAAGGUUGGGAUGCUGUGUAUCGCCCUUAGAUUGAGGGAGAAGAUUGGGGUGCUGUCCGUGACCUCCGGCACUGAGGGGGAAGGUUGGGAUGCUGUGUAUCGCCCUUAGAUUGAGGGAGAAGACUGGGGUGCUGUCCGUGACCUGCGGCACUGAGGGGGAAGGUUGGGAUGCUGUGUAUCGCCCUUAGAUUGAGGGAGAAGAUUGGGGUGCUGUCCGUGACCUCCGGCACUGAGGGGGAAGGUUGGGAUGCUGUGUAUCGCCCUUAGAUUGAGGGAGAAGAUUGGGGUGCUGUCGGUGACCUCCGGCACUGAGGGGAAAGGUUGGGAUGCUGUGUAUCACCCUUAGAUUGAGGGAGAAGAUUGGGGUGCUGCCCGUGACCUGCGGCACUGAGGGGAAAGAGAUAAGGAAGCCACCCCAAAAACCCUGAGAGAUAUGAUGGUGCACUAUCAUAGCUUUCAACGGAUGGAAUGAGUCCUGCAAAGACUGAAUAUAAACCAACAAAACCACUCAAGUGCCUGUGCUGUCCCCUUGUGUGGUAUCCCGUGAGAUGUUAGAUUAGCCCAGAAAAAGCACAUUAGAAUGUAUUUCAUACUGUGUUCUGCCUAAAUAAGACCUUGGGGCUUAGAAUAGAACAGGUUCUGUCAAACCUUCUGUGAUUCAGACACAAUUAUGCAAAAUAAAACUGCUUUCCUUUUUU
Long non-coding RNA from Corvus hawaiiensis (hawaiian crow), 762 nucleotides. RefSeq lists it as uncharacterized. The transcript is spliced from 2 exons. NCBI's taxonomy places the organism in Eukaryota, Metazoa, Chordata, Aves, Passeriformes, Corvidae. The record is from RefSeq and is a predicted model, not a curated record.